GGAUGAGUUCAGACUGCAGCAUAUGAUUUCAGCUCUUUUAGUAUUUGUCCAGUAGGUUUCCCGCUGUGUGGGAAGCCCCAACUGAUCUGGCUGGCUAGGCGGGUGUCCCCUUCCUCCCUCACCGCUCCAUGUGCAUCCCUCCUGAAGCUGCGCGCUCGGUCGAAGAGGACGACCUUCCCCGAUAGAGGCGUACCGUUCAUCGGUCAAGGGUAUACGGUAGCUGCGCUCCCCUGCUAGAACCUCCAAACAAGCUCAAGGUCCAUUUGUAGGAGAACGUAGGGUAGUCAAGCUUCCAAGACUGCACACACAUCCAAGUGAGGCACUGCAUGGGUUGGUCUCUUCUC
RNAcentral lists this small nuclear RNA (344 nucleotides) under Phaethon lepturus (White-tailed tropicbird). RNAcentral describes it as "7SK RNA". It matches the Rfam family "7SK RNA", at positions 51 to 331 of the family's 331-position model. From Rfam's summary of the family: 7SK was discovered as an abundant small nuclear RNA in the mid-70s but a possible function has only recently been suggested. Two independent studies have found that 7SK RNA binds the CDK9/cyclin T complex (known as elongation factor P-TEFb). P-TEFb activates transcription by phosphorylating the C-terminal domain of RNA polymerase II. Lineage: Eukaryota; Metazoa; Chordata; Aves; Phaethontiformes; Phaethontidae. The record is from Rfam by way of RNAcentral.